Molecule: long non-coding RNA, 779 nt
Filed under: Bos taurus (domestic cattle)
Lineage: Eukaryota; Metazoa; Chordata; Mammalia; Artiodactyla; Bovidae
Description: long non-coding RNA NONBTAT006857
Source: RNAcentral
GCUUCUUGGUUAAACAGCUAGAGUCUCUAAUCUGACAUAUCGUCCGAGCCUUUUGAUUUUGAAAAUAUACUGUCACGUGAAAUAUAGGUGAUGUUUAAUUUAUUCAAGGUAGAGUUCCAUAAACUGUUUGUAUGGCUGGGAGACUGAAAGUCGAUAUUUAGCGAAAUGUUCAUCUUUCAAACAGCAGUCCAGGCCCUGCCCUUGGUUACCUUGUUUAAUUAUACUCAUAAAACAGCUAGGGAGUGACUAUUAAGACCAUACACACUUACUGGCUUUGCAAGAACGUGGGAUUGUCUUUUCUUGACCAUAUAAAAUAAAUGUACGAUAAAUUUCUCCCUCAUUGUAAUUAAAAUUAAAAUAGAGACAAUAGCUCAACAAGGCCUUUUUAAUUUCAUAGCCCUGUACCACCAUUAAGUCCACCUCAACUUUCUGUGACCUAUUUUUCUCCUAGGCUUAGUGCAAAGAUUAUUUUUUAAAGACAGCCACAGAAUGAAGUUUGAAGAAAGCCUCUGUUAGGGCAAUUAGGCACUCUCAUUUUUCAAGUUAAUUACAGCUUAUGUUAUCUUCUCCUGGAAAGUUACUGUUUGCCUCUUGCCUGUAUGCUUAGAAUGUUGUAAAACAAUAUAGUGACCCCACAAGUUGAUUCACAGGGGUGGGCUAGCACAUCUCUCCAGCCUUCUGAUUACAAUACCUUAAUAAAUCCUACUGCACAGAGCCACACUCACUUCAGAGCCAGGGUGUCUGUGGUUUCUGCGUGAAGUUGUAAUGCAAUUAUGAAG